Long non-coding RNA from Diachasma alloeum, 445 nucleotides. RefSeq lists it as uncharacterized. The record is from RefSeq and is a predicted model, not a curated record. Lineage: Eukaryota; Metazoa; Arthropoda; Insecta; Hymenoptera; Braconidae. The transcript is spliced from 2 exons.
CUAGGAGAGUUUAUACCAACGACAACCGUGUAAGUCGAAUAUUCAAAUUCUUCGAUCAAAAUUAGUGAAACUAUCAUCAUGAGACUCUUAGCCUUCUCGUUCUUAGUGAUGGCUAUUGUCAUCGGGUUAGUUUCAUGUGCUAAAAACGAAAUCUGCACGUUAUCGGACCCUCCGAUUUGUUUUUCAGUGCCGGAAUUUGAAUCAAGCGCAGAAAGUAAGAGUUCCGAGGCGUCCUAAUCUGCACGGAGCCUCCCACAUGGCCCAUGAAGAACGACUACGUUUGUAACAUCGUAAUCGAAGAAUUGAUUCCAAGAGCAAUUUUAAUUGAUUAUAAUAAAUUAUCUCGACAACAUUUCAUAAAAUUUUGUACUGUCUGGCUAUUUAUUUAUCAUGGAGAAUGCAUAGUACAAUAUACACAAUAAUAAAUGUCUGUUGAAGAAUUCAA